Molecule: ribosomal RNA, 908 nt
Filed under: marine metagenome
Description: bacterial SSU rRNA
Rfam family: Bacterial small subunit ribosomal RNA
Source: RNAcentral
UCGUAGGUGGUUGAAAAGUUAGUGGUGAAAUCCCAGAGCUUAACUCUGGAACUGCCAUUAAAACUUUUCAGCUAGAGUAUGAUAGAGGAAAGCAGAAUUUCUAGUGUAGAGGUGAAAUUCGUAGAUAUUAGAAAGAAUACCAAUUGCGAAGGCAGCUUUCUGGAUCAUUACUGACACUGAGGAACGAAAGCAUGGGUAGCGAAGAGGAUUAGAUACCCUCGUAGUCCAUGCCGUAAACGAUGUGUGUUAGACGUUGGAAAUUUAUUUUCAGUGUCGCAGCGAAAGCGAUAAACACACCGCCUGGGGAGUACGACCGCAAGGUUAAAACUCAAAUGAAUUGACGGGGACCCGCACAAGUAGUGGAGCAUGUGGUUUAAUUCGAAGAUACGCGCAGAACCUUACCAACACUUGACAUGUUCGUCGCGACUCUAAGAGAUUAGAGUUUUCGGUUCGGCCGGACGAAACACAGGUGCUGCAUGGCUGUCGUCAGCUCGUGUCGUGAGAUGUUGGGUUAAGUCCCGCAACGAGCGCAACCCUCACUUUUAGUUGCCAUCAUUAAGUUGGGCACUCUGAAAGAACUGCCAGUGAUAAGCUGGAGGAAGGUGGGGAUGACGUCAAGUCCUCAUGGCCCUUACGUGUUGGGCUACACACGUGCUACAAUGGUAUCUACAACAGGAAGCAAGACUGCGAGGUCAAGCAAAUCCUUAAAAGAUACCUCAGUUCGGAUUGCACUCUGCAACUCGAGUGCAUGAAGCUGGAAUUACUAGUAAUCGUGGAUCAGCGUGCCACGGUGAAUGCGUUCCCGGGUCUUGUACACACCGCCCGUCACACCAUGGGAGUUGGUUCUACCUUAAGGCAAGGUUUCAAACCCUUGACCACGGUAUAAUCAGCGACUGGGGUGAAGUCGU